This 893-nucleotide ribosomal RNA is filed under the name Kluyveromyces lactis. RNAcentral describes it as "LSU rRNA". It matches the Rfam family "Eukaryotic large subunit ribosomal RNA", at positions 24 to 958 of the family's 3401-position model. Lineage: Eukaryota; Fungi; Ascomycota; Saccharomycetes; Saccharomycetales; Saccharomycetaceae. The record is from RNAcentral.
UUUCCCGGUGAAAUUAAGCAUAUCAAUAAGCGGAGGAAAAGAAACCAACCGGGAUUGCCUUAGUAACGGCGAGUGAAGCGGCAAAAGCUCAAAUUUGAAAUCUGGCGUCUUCGACGUCCGAGUUGUAAUUUGAAGAAGGCAACUUUGUAGCUGGUCCUUGUCUAUGUUCCUUGGAACAGGACGUCAUAGAGGGUGAGAAUCCCGUGUGGCGAGGAUCCCAGUUAUUUGUAAAGUGCUUUCGACGAGUCGAGUUGUUUGGGAAUGCAGCUCUAAGUGGGUGGUAAAUUCCAUCUAAAGCUAAAUAUUGGCGAGAGACCGAUAGCGAACAAGUACAGUGAUGGAAAGAUGAAAAGAACUUUGAAAAGAGAGUGAAAAAGUACGUGAAAUUGUUGAAAGGGAAGGGCAUUUGAUCAGACAUGGCGUUUGCUUCGGCUUUCGCUGGGCCAGCAUCAGUUUUAGCGGUUGGAUAAAUCCUCGGGAAUGUGGCUCUGCUUCGGUAGAGUGUUAUAGCCCGUGGGAAUACAGCCAGCUGGGACUGAGGAUUGCGACUUUUGUCAAGGAUGCUGGCGUAAUGGUUAAAUGCCGCCCGUCUUGAAACACGGACCAAGGAGUCUAACGUCUAUGCGAGUGUUUGGGUGUAAAACCCGUACGCGUAAUGAAAGUGAACGUAGGUGAGGGCCCGCAAGGGUGCAUCAUCGACCGAUCCUGAUGUCUUCGGAUGGAUUUGAGUAAGAGCAUAGCUGUUGGGACCCGAAAGAUGGUGAACUAUGCCUGAAUAGGGUGAAGCCAGAGGAAACUCUGGUGGAGGCUCGUAGCGGUUCUGACGUGCAAAUCGAUCGUCGAAUUUGGGUAUAGGGGCGAAAGACUAAUCGAACCAUCUAGUAGCUGGUUCC